UACGGAGGGUGCGAGCGUUGUUCGGAAUCACUGGGCGUAAAGCGCGUGUAGGCGGCCUGCUAAGUCUGAUGUGAAAGCCCGAGGCUCACCCUCGGAAGUGCAUUGGAAACUGGCAGACUGGAGUCCCGGAGAGGAGGGUGGAAUUCCUGGUGUAGCGGUGAAAUGCGUAGAUAUCAGGAGGAACACCGGUGGCGAAGGCGGCCCUCUGGACGGUGACUGACGCUGAGACGCGAAAGCGUGGGGAGCAAACAGG
This 253-nucleotide ribosomal RNA is filed under the name uncultured bacterium. RNAcentral describes it as "partial 16S ribosomal RNA". It matches the Rfam family "Bacterial small subunit ribosomal RNA", at positions 524 to 776 of the family's 1533-position model. The record is from RNAcentral.